CUACGGGAGGCAGCAGUGGGGAAUCUUAGACAAUGGGGGAAACCCUGAUCUAGCCAUGCCGCGUGAGUGAAGAAGGCCUUCGGGUUGUAAAGCUCUUUCGGCCGGGAAGAAAUCGUGCGGGCCAAUACCCUGUAUGGAUGACGGUACCGGAAGAAGAAGCACCGGCUAACUACGUGCCAGCAGCCGCGGUAAUACGUAGGGUGCGAGCGUUAAUCGGAAUUACUGGGCGUAAAGGGUGCGCAGGCGGUUUUGUAAGACAGGUGUGAAAUCCCCGGGCUUAACCUGGGAACUGCGCUUGUGACUGCAAGACUUGAGUGCGGCAGAGGGGGGUGGAAUUCCACGUGUAGCAGUGAAAUGCGUAGAGAUGUGGAGGAACACCGAUGGCGAAGGCAGCCCCCUGGGUCGAGACUGACACUGAGGGACGAAAGCGUGGGUAGCGAACAGGAUUAGAUACCCCAGUAGUCC
This 465-nucleotide ribosomal RNA is filed under the name uncultured bacterium. RNAcentral describes it as "bacterial SSU rRNA". It matches the Rfam family "Bacterial small subunit ribosomal RNA", at positions 339 to 796 of the family's 1533-position model. The record is from RNAcentral.